Molecule: ribosomal RNA, 723 nt
Filed under: uncultured bacterium
Lineage: Bacteria
Description: bacterial SSU rRNA
Rfam family: Bacterial small subunit ribosomal RNA
Source: RNAcentral
GCUACCAUGCAGUCGAGCGGUACAUUUCAAAGCUUGCUUUUGAAGAUGACGAGCGGCGGACGGGUGAGUAAUGCCUGGGAAUUUGCCCAUUUGUGGGGGAUAACAGUUGGAAACGACUGCUAAUACCGCAUACGCCCUACGGGGGAAAGCAGGGGACCUUCGGGCCUUGCGCUGAUGGAUAAGCCCAGGUGGGAUUAGCUAGUAGGUGAGGUAAAGGCUCACCUAGGCGACGAUCCCUAGCUGGUCUGAGAGGAUGAUCAGCCACACUGGGACUGAGACACGGCCCAGACUCCUACGGGAGGCAGCAGUGGGGAAUAUUGCACAAUGGGGGAAACCCUGAUGCAGCCAUGCCGCGUGUGUGAAGAAGGCCUUCGGGUUGUAAAGCACUUUCAGCGAGGAGGAAAGGGUGUAAGUUAAUACCUUACAUCUGUGACGUUACUCGCAGAAGAAGCACCGGCUAACUCCGUGCCAGCAGCCGCGGUAAUACGGAGGGUGCGAGCGUUAAUCGGAAUUACUGGGCGUAAAGCGUGCGCAGGCGGUUUGUUAAGCGAGAUGUGAAAGCCCCGGGCUCAACCUGGGAACCGCAUUUCGAACUGGCAAACUAGAGUCUUGUAGAGGGGGGUAGAAAUUCCAGGUGGUAGCGGUGGAAAUGCGUAAAGGAUCUGGAGGAAUAACCGGUGGCGAAAGGCGCCCCCUGGAACAAAGACUGAACGCUCAGGCCCA